GUUGCUUCUUAAGGUGAACUCUCUUUAUAUUAAUUAAAGUGAGAGACGUUCAAGUUUCCGAAGCAUAAAUCAACUGUCAGUAUUAAACAGCAUGCUGCAUUUUCAAUUGCAUCUUGCUACCUGUCUCCUGCUACAUUC
Molecule: non-coding RNA, 138 nt
Organism: Capsicum annuum
Lineage: Eukaryota; Viridiplantae; Streptophyta; Magnoliopsida; Solanales; Solanaceae
Source: Rfam